Labrus bergylta (ballan wrasse) is the source of this 1002-nucleotide non-coding RNA. Lineage: Eukaryota; Metazoa; Chordata; Actinopteri; Labriformes; Labridae. The record is from RefSeq and is a predicted model, not a curated record.
GCACGUGGUGGUUGGCCGUGGGCUGUAGUCUUUGCGGUGUGUUCGAGUGCCACUUUUUGGCCAAUUCAAAAGGCGUCGUGGGAACCUCGACUCGUUCAGUGCCUUCAAGUUUUAAAAAUCUUAUGAAAAAGCUAGAGGCUCAAACCAAGCCACAUGUCUACAUUCAGGGAAAGGUAGCAAAAACCUGGAAUAUAGUUUUUGAAAAGGAGGAGGUACACCUGGUCUACUCAACAUUUGCCCAUCAAGAGUCCUCAUUUGAAUAACCCACACCUUCGUCUACCUUUGGCAUACAUUUAGUAAAUGGCCUCUUGGAUAUGACACAGCUCUGCAAUAUUGGACUUGUUUUGUUGCUGUGCCCCUGAUACAUAUUAACUGACCAAUUAAACCCUAUCCAAUGCCACACCUGGACCACCCGCCCCCUGCCCACCACACCAUCUCUCAGCCUCUUCCUUGUCCAACAUCUUACAUGUGUAAUUAUGUCUGUCUGUCUCCCUUAUGGCUGCCUCUCCAGACACCAAAGCCUCAUCCUCUGAUCUGAGCCUGUCCCUUUAAAUGUCAACACACGACGCGCUCUGGGAGGAGCAGGGGAGUGAUGACAGUGAGAGAGAACAUUUACAGUCUAUGGAGAGAACACAGCGGGGCGGAGGACGUGUGUGAGGAACUAUGUGAAUUCACAGGCCCGACCAACGCCCUCCAACAGCUGCCAUAGUCACACACGUUUAUAGUUACAUAAACUAUAUUUAGAGAAGCUGUCACAUCAUUUUCAUAAAAGUAAGAAUCAUUUCUUCAUUUCAGUAUGGGGAUUUUCAGUCAUUUGUCUGUCCAUAUAAAGGGGAAGGAAACUGGUGUGGCUCUUAUUUUCAAACACAGUAAUAAAGAACACAGUUAUCUGCUGACAGGAGUACCAGCUAUGAGUUUAUCUGCUGCAGCGAGUGGAUUUGUUGUCUUCCUUCUCGUUGUACAAGUGGUUCAGAGUCAGAAUGACAUGAGAGUGACUUACAG